AGAGUAUAAAGCUGGACUAGUUAUUUGCAGUGCAAUGGAAGAAGACAUGCCAGUCUUUUGUCAAAUAGGUGAUGUACUUCUGCUAUUUACAGAGAAUUUUGAUGACCAUCAUCAUGCAUUCAGAGUAUUACAAAGUGCGGAAAGAUGUCUACU
Molecule: long non-coding RNA, 153 nt
Organism: Etheostoma spectabile (orangethroat darter)
Lineage: Eukaryota; Metazoa; Chordata; Actinopteri; Perciformes; Percidae
Exons: 2
Source: RefSeq, a predicted model, not a curated record